UUGUAGGCUAAGUUCCCGGAGG
This 22-nucleotide unclassified non-coding RNA is filed under the name Mus musculus (house mouse). Its description in RNAcentral is "oocyte_clustered_small_RNA2980". The record is from RNAcentral. Lineage: Eukaryota; Metazoa; Chordata; Mammalia; Rodentia; Muridae.